AGAGUUUGAUCCUGGCUCAGGACGAACGCUGGCGGCGUGCCUAACACAUGCAAGUCGAACGGAGAUAUGAUUUCGGUUGUAUCUUAGUGGCGAACGGGUGAGUAACGCGUGAGCAACCUGACUCUUAGAGGGGGAUAACACUCGGAAACGAGUGCUAAUACCGCAUAAGACCACGACAUGGCAUCAUGACGCGGUAAUCAUGACGAGGUCAAAGGAGAAAUCCGCUUGGAGAUGGGCCCGCGGCUGAUUAGCUAGUUGGUGAGGUAAUGGCUCACCAAGGCGACGAUGAGUAGCCGGCCUGAGAGGGUGAACGGCCACACUGGAACUGAGACACGGUCCAGACUCCUACGGGAGGCAGCAGUAAGGAAUAUUGCGCAAUGGGCGCAAGCCUGACGCAGCGACGCCGCGUGAGUGAUUAAGGCUUUCGGGUUGUAAACCUCUGUCCUAAGGGAAGAACAACCACUUGGAAAAUAUUGAGUGUAUAUGACGGUACCCAAAGAGGAAGCCCCGGCUAACUACGUGCCAGCAGCCGCGGUAAUACGUAGGGGGCAAGCGUUGUCCGGAAUUAUUGGGCGUAAAGGGCGCGUAGGCGGAUAAUUAAGUCCGGUGUGAAAGAUCAGGGCUCAACCCCGGAAGGCCUUUGGAACUGGACAGCUUGAGUGCAAGAGAGGGAAGUGGAAUUCCUAGUGUAGCGGUGAAAUGCGUAGAUAUUGGGAGGAACACCCGUGGCGAAGGCGGCUUCCUGGACGAUAACUGACACUGAGGCGCGAAAGCGUGGGGAGCAAACAGGAUUAGAUACCCUGGUAGUCCACGCCGUAAACGAUGAGUGCUAGGUGUCGGGGGUAUCGACCCCCUCGGUGCCACAGCUAACGCAAUAAGCACUCCGCCUGGGGAGUACGGUCGCAAGACUGAAACUCAAAGGAAUUGACGGGGGCCCGCACAAGCGGUGGAGUAUGGGAUUUCGACGCAACGCGAAGAACCUUACCAAGGCUUGACAUCCCGUGACAGCCAUAGAAAUAUGGACUUCUUAGUUUACUAAGACACGGAGACAGGUGGUGCAUGGUUGUCGUCAGCUCGUGUCGUGAGAUGUUGGGUUAAGUCCCGCAACGAGCGCAACCCCUACAGCCAGUUGCCAGCACGUAAUGGUGGGAACUCUGGCAGAACUGCCGUUGACAAAACGGAGGAAGGUGGGGAUGACGUCAAAUCAUCAUGCCCCUUAUGUCUUGGGCUACACACGUACUACAAUGGCCUGAACAGAGGGAAGCGAAACUGCGAAGUUAAGCGAAUCCCUUAAAACAGGUCCCAGUUCGGAUUGUAGGCUGCAACUCGCCUACAUGAAGUUGGAAUCGCUAGUAAUCGCAGGUCAGCAUGCCGCGGUGAAUGAGUUCUCGGGUCUUGUACACACCGCCCGUCA
This 1414-nucleotide ribosomal RNA is filed under the name uncultured bacterium. RNAcentral's name for it is "bacterial SSU rRNA". It matches the Rfam family "Bacterial small subunit ribosomal RNA". The record is from RNAcentral.